GACUCUGUAGCUCAGUUGGUUAGAGCGCUGCACCGGAAUCGCAGGGCCGUAAGUUCAAUUCCUACCAGAGGAC
RNAcentral lists this transfer RNA (73 nucleotides) under Paramuricea clavata. Its description in RNAcentral is "tRNA-Ser". It matches the Rfam family "tRNA". From Rfam's summary of the family: Transfer RNA (tRNA) molecules are approximately 80 nucleotides in length. Their secondary structure includes four short double-helical elements and three loops (D, anti-codon, and T loops). Lineage: Eukaryota; Metazoa; Cnidaria; Anthozoa; Malacalcyonacea; Plexauridae. The record is from RNAcentral.